UGGUUUUUGGCCUAGUGGCUAACACGGAUGGCUGAGACCCACAAGACCGGGGUUCGAGUCCCCGCUGUGGCUAA
Non-coding RNA from Caenorhabditis elegans, 74 nucleotides. The record is from the annotation of a RefSeq genome assembly. Lineage: Eukaryota; Metazoa; Nematoda; Chromadorea; Rhabditida; Rhabditidae.